Molecule: ribosomal RNA, 391 nt
Filed under: uncultured bacterium
Lineage: Bacteria
Description: bacterial SSU rRNA
Rfam family: Bacterial small subunit ribosomal RNA
Source: RNAcentral
AUUGAACGCUGGCGGCAUGCCUUACACAUGCAAGUCGAACGGCAGCACGGGAGCUUGCUCCUGGUGGCGAGUGGCGAACGGGUGAGUAAUACAUCGGAACGUACCCUGAAGUGGGGGAUAACGUAGCGAAAGUUACGCUAAUACCGCAUAUUCUGUGAGCAGGAAAGAGGGGGAUCGCAAGACCUCUUGCUUUAGGAGCGGCCGAUGUCGGAUUAGCUAGUUGGUGAGGUAAAGGCUCACCAAGGCGACGAUCCGUAGCGGGUCUGAGAGGAUGAUCCGCCACACUGGGACUGAGACACGGCCCAGACUCCUACGGGAGGCAGCAGUGGGGAAUUUUGGGACAAUGGGCGCAAGCCUGAUCCAGCCAUGCCGCGUGAGUGAAGAAGGCCUC